GGGGGAUCCUACGGGAGGCAGCAGUGGGGAAUAUUGGACAAUGGGGGAAACCCUGAUCCAGCCAUGCCGCGUGUGUGAAGAAGGCCUUUUGGUUGUAAAGCACUUUUAGCAGU
This 113-nucleotide ribosomal RNA is filed under the name uncultured bacterium. RNAcentral's name for it is "partial 16S ribosomal RNA". It matches the Rfam family "Bacterial small subunit ribosomal RNA", at positions 331 to 443 of the family's 1533-position model. The record is from RNAcentral.